UGGGGAAUUUUGGACGAAUGGGCGAAAGCCUGAUCCAGCAAUGCCGCGUGUGUGAAGAAGGCCUUCGGGUUGUAAAGCACUUUUGUCCGGAAAGAAAUCCUUGGCUCUAAUACAGUCGGGGGAUGACGGUACCGGAAGAAUAAGCACCGGCUAACUACGUGCCAGCAGCCGCGGUAAUACGUAGGGUGCAAGCGUUAAUCGGAAUUACUGGGCGUAAAGCGUGCGCAGGCGGUUUGCUAAGACCGAUGUGAAAUCCCCGGGCUCAACCUGGGAACUGCAUUGGUGACUGGCAGGCUAGAGUAUGGCAGAGGGGGGUAGAAUUCCACGUGUAGCAGUGAAAUGCGUAGAGAUGUGGAGGAAUACCGAUGGCGAAGGCAGCCCCCUGGGCCAAUACUGACGCUCAUGCACGAAAGCGUGGGGAGCAAACAGGAUUAGAUACCCUGGUAGUCCACGCCCUAAACGAUGUCAACUAGUUGUUGGGGAUUCAUUUUCUCAGUAACGUAGCUAACGCGUGAAGUUGACCGCCUGGGGAGUACGGUCGCAAGAUUAAAACUCAAAGGAAUUGACGGGGUCAUAGCUGUUU
This 583-nucleotide ribosomal RNA is filed under the name uncultured bacterium. RNAcentral's name for it is "partial 16S ribosomal RNA". It matches the Rfam family "Bacterial small subunit ribosomal RNA", at positions 355 to 935 of the family's 1533-position model. The record is from RNAcentral.